AAGCGUCCUGUUCCAUGCUCCAGAACCCUUGAGAUGGGAAGGACCUUGGAGAGCACCUGAUAAAGCCUUUCCGUUCCCUAUUGCCGCGAUGGGGAGCUUGUCCCCUCGAGGCAAAGAGCACACAGGCGUGUUGGGAUGACUGGGUUUUGCUGGUCUUCAAUCUGUAACGUUGGAAUUGUUUUCACUACCCUGCCUCUUCUUCAUUCUGCCUGAUUCUCCAGAGGAAGAAGAGGUGGAUAAGAUGAUGGAACAGAAGAUGAAGGAAGAACAGGAGAGAAGAAAGAAAAAGGAGAUGGAAGAGAGAAUGUCACUAGAGGAGACCAAGGAACAAAUUCUGAAGUUGGAGGAGAAGCUUUUGGCCCUACAGGAAGAGAAGCACCAGCUUUUCCUGCAGCUCAAGAAAGUUUUACAUGAGGAAGAAAAACGGAGGCGAAAGGAACAGAGUGACCUGACCACCCUGACAUCAGCUGCAUACCAGCAGAGCCUGACUGUUCACACAGGAACUCAUCUCCUCAGCAUGCAGGGUGAGGACUAAAGAAACCACCUGAUGGAACCGGCCUUCU
RNAcentral lists this small RNA (563 nucleotides) under Pan troglodytes (chimpanzee). Its description in RNAcentral is "retained intron". Lineage: Eukaryota; Metazoa; Chordata; Mammalia; Primates; Hominidae. The record is from RNAcentral.